This 408-nucleotide ribosomal RNA is filed under the name uncultured bacterium. RNAcentral's name for it is "bacterial SSU rRNA". It matches the Rfam family "Bacterial small subunit ribosomal RNA", at positions 29 to 428 of the family's 1533-position model. The record is from RNAcentral.
AACGAACGUUAGCGGCGCGCCUAACACAUGCAAGUCGAACGCGACAGGGGCAACUCUGUUGAGUGGCGCACGGGUGAGUAACACGUAGGUAAUCUUCCCUCGAGUGGUGGAUAACCCUCCGAAAGGAGAGCUAAUACAGCAUGAGACCACGGCUUCGAAAGGAGCUGAGGUCAAAGCGGAGGAUCGCAAGACUUCGCGCUUGAGGAUGAGCCUGCGGCCCANCAGGUAGUUGGCGGGGUAAUGGCCCACCAAGCCUAAGACGGGUAGCUGGUCUGAGAGGAUGAUCAGCCACACUGGAACUGAGACACGGUCCAGACUCCUACGGGAGGCAGCAGUGGGGAAUCUUGCGCAAUGGACGAAAGUCUGACGCAGCGACGCCGCGUGGGUGAUGAAGGCCUUCGGUUGUAA